Molecule: ribosomal RNA, 522 nt
Filed under: uncultured bacterium
Lineage: Bacteria
Description: partial 16S ribosomal RNA
Rfam family: Bacterial small subunit ribosomal RNA
Source: RNAcentral
UGGGGAAUUUUGGACAAUGGGCGAAAGCCUGAUCCAGCAAUGCCGCGUGUGUGAAGAAGGCCUUCGGGUUGUAAAGCACUUUUGUCCGGAAAGAAAUGGCUCUGGUUAAUACCUGGGGUCGAUGACGGUACCGGAAGAAUAAGGACCGGCUAACUACGUGCCAGCAGCCGCGGUAAUACGUAGGGUCCAAGCGUUAAUCGGAAUUACUGGGCGUAAAGCGUGCGCAGGCGGUUGUGCAAGACCGAUGUGAAAUCCCCGAGCUUAACUUGGGAAUUGCAUUGGUGACUGCACGGCUAGAGUGUGUCAGAGGGGGGUAGAAUUCCACGUGUAGCAGUGAAAUGCGUAGAGAUGUGGAGGAAUACCGAUGGCGAAGGCAGCCCCCUGGGAUAACACUGACGCUCAUGCACAAAAGCGUGGGGAGCAAACAGGAUUAGAUACCCUGGUAGUCCACGCCCUAAACGAUGUCAACUAGUUGUUGGGGGAUUCAUUUCCUUAGUAACGUAGCUAACGCGUGAAGUUGGA